Molecule: ribosomal RNA, 524 nt
Filed under: uncultured bacterium
Lineage: Bacteria
Description: partial 16S ribosomal RNA
Rfam family: Bacterial small subunit ribosomal RNA
Source: RNAcentral
GACGAACGUUGGCGGCGUGCUUAACGCAUGCAAGUCGAACGAGACGAUUGAAAGCUUGCUUUCGGAAGUCGAGUGGCAAACGGGUGAGUAACGCGUAGACAACCUGCCUUUGAGAUGGGGACAACAGUUCGAAAGGACUGCUAAUACCGAAUGUUGUAUAUUUUCCACAUGGAAGAUAUAUUAAAGAUGGCCUCUAUUUAUAAGUUAUCGCUCAAAGAUGGGUCUGCGUCUGAUUAGCUGGUUGGUGGGGUAACGGCCUACCAAGGCGACGAUCAGUAGCCGGUCUGAGAGGAUGAACGGCCACAUUGGGACUGAGACACGGCCCAGACUCCUACGGGAGGCAGCAGUGGGGAAUCUUCCACAAUGGACGAAAGUCUGAUGGAGCAACGCCGCGUGAGUGAAGAAGGGUUUCGGCUCGUAAAGCUCUGUUGUCGGGGACGAAUGUGCAGUAUUUGAAUAAAGUACUGCAAUGACGGUACCUGACGAGGAAGCCACGGCUAACUACGUGCCAGCCGCCGCGGUAA